Molecule: RNA transcript, 3173 nt
Organism: Daktulosphaira vitifoliae (grape phylloxera)
Lineage: Eukaryota; Metazoa; Arthropoda; Insecta; Hemiptera; Phylloxeridae
Gene name: putative leucine-rich repeat-containing protein DDB_G0290503
Exons: 12
Source: RefSeq, a predicted model, not a curated record
AUGAGUACUCCUAUAUGGGGGCACUAUGUCGGUUUUAUUUACAAGUUAUAAUCUCAUUAUUUUUACACAUUGAUUAUGGUAGCGUUAUUAUUUAACUCUAGAAGCUGACGCUUAAGUUAUAGCAACAUAAAUAUUGUUGAAAUGUUUGAACCGUUUAUAAUAUUGAAGUGUAUUUAGAUGUUAUAAAUUUGUUAGAGUAGGGAGAAAUGUUAUUUUCAGCGUCACUGUCAUAACUCUAGUGGAGCUGUACGCUUGUUGUCACAUUCUCGUGGGCUUUAAAAAAAAAAACUAGUAUUCGCUCGAAGUGUUGUGCAUUUUUUUUUAUAUAAAGAUUAAUUACCGAUUUAUCAUGCUGUCUCAAGCUUCUUCCUCAUCUACCCUACAACAACAGCCUUUUGCAGAUAAUCAGCGUCGGAAUAGACGUCAUAGGACCAACCAAGCUAGUGGUCACCGACGAGGUCGAAAGCGUCGCGCACACUCAAAUGAUGGCGACCAUGUCCGACAGAACUCACGAGCGACUGUUGCUAAUAAGUCGGUGGCUGAGACAUCCGGCAAUGAAAAUCGAAACUCAGUAAUAUCGGAAGCUCCGAAUUUCAUUUCGAAAAUAGACGAUCUCAACAAUCACAUGAAAGAACCAUUGCUCAAUGACCAAAAUCUGCCGGAUACAGAAAAAGAAGAAGAGGAUCACAGUCGACCAAGGUCCCCAUCAUCUGAUUCAUCAUCAUCAUCAUCAGGCUCAUCAGCAGUGACAAGAAUAUUGAAAAUAACAUAUUCAAAUCAACCGGACGUUGUAAUGCAUAGGGCACGAGAUGACGCUGAAGAAUCAGAUGAUUUACAACAGCUAGAAGAUAAUGAACCGACACAACUCAAUAGUGAUUCACAUUCAGAAAGUGAAGAUGAUAACUAUAAAUCAUUAGAUCUACCAAACAAAAUCGAAGACGACAAUGUAGCAGCAUCUAUGAAACUAUUGGAAGAUUUACGAGCAAAACAUGCGGCCGAUACAGAGCGUUUACUUAAUGAUUUUGAGUGGAAACUUCGACAAGUAGAGCAAACAUGGAAAAACAAAAUGGACGAAAUGCUUAAGACUAAAAAUGAUGAGAAGAAUAAAUUAGAAAUGGAAAUCCGAAGAGUGGCUGAAGAAGAAGCUGAUAAAGCGGUGGCUGAAGCUCAAUUACGAGCAGAUGAAGCAGAAUCUCGUUUAAGGUUAAAAGAAGCUGAGUUAGAGAGUACAAAAGUUUCUGCAGCUUCAGAAAUAGCAAAAUUGACUGAAGAAGCGGCUAAAAUGUAUGAAAUGAGUUCUACAUUAGAAGCAGCGCAGCAACGACUGCAGGAAACUCAACAAGCUCUCAGGGAACAGUCAGAAAACCAUGACUUAGCAUUACGAACACGUAUGGAAAAUGCCGAAUCGCAGUUUAAGCAAAAAACCGAAGAAAUGAAAGCAGAUUUUGAUUCCAGAGUAGAACAAGCGGAACGAGCGAUUCGCCGACAGUGGAAAGCAGAUGAGAAAGAAUGGGCAAGUCAAAUAGAAACACUAAAAAAAGAUUUAGAAAAAGUGAAAACAAAUUUAGCUACAGUGCAAGGAAUUCAUGUCAGAGAACUUAAUGAAAAUGAACUCAAAUUUAAACAAAAGUUAAAAGAUGAGAUUGCGCAAAUCGAAGUCAGGUUAAUCGAAAAGUAUCAAACACAAAUAGAUACAAAAGAAAUUCAAUUAAAUAGAAAGAAACAACUUUUAGAGACUACCAGGGAUCAGUUGGCAACUGCAAUUUCUGAGGGCGAGAAGAAUUUGAAAGAGGCUCAUCUUGAAGCAAACCAUCGAUUGGAAGAAGAAAAGAAGAAACAUAAGAUAGAAAUUGAUCAGCUACGUACGCAAUGUGACAUAGAGGCAGUGGAUACACGACGGCGGUUUGAUAAGUUGGACAUGUGGUAUAUAGAACGAUUAGAUUCUCAACAAACAGAGCACGAUCGUACAUUAGAACGUCUACAUCAAGAAUGUGAUUUAAAAGUAGCAGCAUUGGAAAAAGAAAUGCAAGAUAACAAUCUAAAAUUUGAAGCACGAUUAAACGAAGCUCAGAAUAAUGUUAAUGAAGCAGAACGUAAAGCUAAUGAGAGUCGACUAAAAUUGGUUGAUGCUGAACGUAGAGCCAAAGAAGCUGAGUCAAAACUUGAGAAUUUGGCAUUGCGAUGGAGUAAAGCAGAACAUCAUGUCAAUGAAUUGGAAGUUAAAUUACAAGAAACUUCCAAACUAGCAGCUGAAUCUAAAAAUAAAGUCAUAGAGGAAUUCGAGCGUAGAAUAAGUGAAUCUCAAAUUAAAGUUAGUGAAGCAAAGCAAAGAGUUACACAGCUAGAGGCAUGGAAAGCCAAAGAGACGGAACGCAUAGCUUCCGAACAGAAAAUAAAAGAAGCUGCUGAAAUCAAGUUGAAGGAAAAGAAAGAACUUGAAAAUCAAACUCAAAACAAUAACAACGAUGAGAUGAUAGCCAAAUUACUAGAAGAACAGGCUUCACGAUUGGACAAACAUUGGCAAUCAAUGAUCAAGCAAAGAGAAGCGCAGCUAAUAAUGGAACAUGGACAAAGGCUAGCCGUAGAAAAAGAGAGACAUGCAAAACAACUUACACAAUGGCAUGCAUUAACGGAGCAGCUCAAAGAUAAAUUGGAAGAACGAGAUGGACACCAUGAAGCAUUAGAAAAAACCAGUCACUGCAGUGAUGAAAACUUACACAAGACUGACCAACAGUUUGUCAAAGAAAUAUUACAGAUAAAAGUACAAGAAACAAUCAAUGGAAAUUGUAUUUCAAAACCGUGUCCAGCCUCUGAAUAAUAUUCACAAAAUAUGCAAAAUUUAUGUACAAUGAGGAGUAAAUUGAUUAAAUAAAAUUUAUGACGUAAGUAACAUGAAAAGGGAGUGGUUCAUUUGCUUAAUCUACUUGAUGGGAGCAUAUUUUUGAUUGCGUCAAAUCGCACAUAAAAUUGUGUGUGUUUCAUUGUAUAGUUUUGUGUUUAGGUAUUAUCAUUUGUAGUUUUUUAUGUAAUGAUGCAUCAUAGUGAAGGUGAUAUAAGACAAAAUACUUACAUAUAGGAAUGCUUUAAACAUUUGUAUGUAUGAAUGUUUAGAUUGAUUUCAUAUUUAAUUUCUAUUAGAUUAAACUGGUUUUAUGAAAAUAGCUUUUUUAAUG